Molecule: ribosomal RNA, 310 nt
Filed under: Polydora sp. m VVM-2022
Lineage: Eukaryota; Metazoa; Annelida; Polychaeta; Spionida; Spionidae
Description: partial large subunit ribosomal RNA
Rfam family: Bacterial large subunit ribosomal RNA
Source: RNAcentral
GCAUAAUCAUUUGCCGUUUAAUUGAUGGCUGGAAUGAAUGAAUAUACGAGAGCUCAACUGUCUCAUUUUUACAAAUAUAAAUUGACCCUCAAGUGAAGAGACUUGAAUCUUUAAAAAAGACGAAAAGACCCUAUAGAGCUUUACCUAAAGUUUAUAUUAUAUAAACUAAAGGUUUAGUUGGGGCAACUAGAGAGCACCUAAAACCUCUCUUUAAACCUACUAAUAAUGAUCCGUUUUUACGAUAAGUAGAAAAAGCUACCUUAGGGAUAACAGGCUAAUCCUCUUUAAGAGACCAUAUUGACAAGAGGGA